GCAGCCGACGCCGAGAGGCACCGUUUCUUCUUAAAAGAGAAACGCUGCGCGCGCGAGGUGGGCCCCGGUCUUCCAGCAGCUCCGGGCUUGCUCGCUAGGCCCGGGAGGCGCAGGCGCAGGCGCAGUGGGGGUGAGGGCGCGUGGGGGCGCACAGCCUCUGGUGCACAUGGCUUCCUCCCCGGCGGUGGACGUGACCUGCAGGCGGCGGGAGAAGCGGCGGCAGCUGGACGCGCGCCGCAGCAAGUGCCGCAUCCGCCUGGGCGGCCACAUGGAGCAGUGGUGCCUCCUCAAGGAGCGGCUGGGCUUCUCCCUGCACUCGCAGCUCGCCAAGUUCCUGUUGGACCGGACGGCCUGUGUGACUUGUGGCCUCCGAGGGUCCUGCUCCCCUCCUCAUGGUCUCAGCGAAUAGCGGCCCUUAGGGCUGGCCCCUUACAUGUGUGAGUGCCCAGGGCUGAGGGUGGCUGGCCACCUGAGUCCUGACCUGCCUCUUCUCCUGCUGGCAGGUACACUUCUUCAGGCUGUGUCCUCUGUGCAGGUAGGUAGGGGAUGGCAGGGGGUGAGAGCCAGAGGGAAGAGGGACCACAGGGUGACCCAGAAACACCCUCCUUUCAAAGGGAGCCCUGAGUAAGUUUGGGAAGGGUGGGGUGAGUUGGGGAGCACAGGGUAGUUUGAUGGCAGCAACCUCUGGGUGGGG
RNAcentral lists this small RNA (694 nucleotides) under Pan troglodytes (chimpanzee). RNAcentral describes it as "retained intron". Lineage: Eukaryota; Metazoa; Chordata; Mammalia; Primates; Hominidae. The record is from RNAcentral.